AUCCAGCCGACGAGUCCCAAAUAGGACGAAACGUGCGUCCUGUAU
Schistosoma haematobium is the source of this 45-nucleotide non-coding RNA. NCBI's taxonomy places the organism in Eukaryota, Metazoa, Platyhelminthes, Trematoda, Strigeidida, Schistosomatidae. The record is from Rfam.